RNAcentral lists this ribosomal RNA (305 nucleotides) under uncultured bacterium. RNAcentral's name for it is "bacterial SSU rRNA". It matches the Rfam family "Bacterial small subunit ribosomal RNA", at positions 334 to 636 of the family's 1533-position model. The record is from RNAcentral.
UUUUCCUACGGGGCGCAGCAGUGAGGAAUAUUGGUCAAUGGGCGGAGGCCUGAACCAGCCAAGUCGCGUGAGGGAAUAAGGCCCUACGGGUCGUAAACCUCUUUUGCCGGGGAGCAAGGGCCGGGACGAGUCCCGGUCCGGAGAGUACCCGGAGAAAAAGCAUCGGCUAACUCCGUGCCAGCAGCCGCGGUAAUACGGAGGAUGCGAGCGUUAUCCGGAUUUAUUGGGUUUAAGGGGUGCGUAGGCGGGCUUUUAAGUCAGCGGUAAAAAUUCGGGGCUCAACCCCUUCCGGCCGUUGAAACUGG